UCCCUGGCGGUCCAGUGGUUAAGACUCUGCACUUCCGCUGCAGGGGCCCAGGUUCGAUCUCUGGUCAGGGAA
Lipotes vexillifer (Yangtze River dolphin) is the source of this 72-nucleotide non-coding RNA. Lineage: Eukaryota; Metazoa; Chordata; Mammalia; Artiodactyla; Lipotidae. The record is from the annotation of a RefSeq genome assembly.